UAUCUCUGUAGAGUCUGCAUAUCAAUAAGCGGAGGAAAAGAAACCUAACUAGGAUUCCCUCAGUAACGGCGAGUGAAGCGGGAAGAGCUCAAAUUUGAAAUCUUCAAGGUUCUACCUUGACGAAUUGUAGUUUAAAGAAGUGUUUUCUGUUGGAGUUUUGGUAAAAGUUCUUUGGAAUAGGACAUCAUAGAGGGUGAGAAUCCCGUAUUUGACCAUUAUUUCCAGCUUUGUGAUACACUUUCAAAGAGUCGGAUUGUUUGGGAAUGCAGUCCAAAAUGGGUGGUAAAUUUCAUCUAAAGCUAAAUACUGGCGAGAGACCGAUAGCGAACAAGUACCGUGAGGGAAAGAUGAAAAGAACUUUGAAAAGAGAGUUAAACAGUACGUGAAAUUGUCAAAAGGGAAGCGUUUGACACCAGUGUUGUUUUCUCGAAAAUCAAUUAAAAAAGGCAGGAUUUUGUGUCGUAUUGACUUUAUCAGCUUUCCUGCACUCUUUUCUUGUCUUUUUUAAUGCACUUUUCGUUUAACAAGUCAACAUCAAUUUCUUUUGUUGUAAAAGGGUCAUUGGAAGGUGGCUUUCUUUUCGGAGAAAGUGUUUAUAGCCUUUGGCCUCUGCAAUCGGAGAGAUUGAGGUCUGCAGCGUAGAUCCUUCGGGGUUAGAUACAUUUGUGCUAAGUUAUAGCCUUUCAUAGACAACUUGUUGACUAUGAUCAGUCAUGUAGCUUACUCGCUUAUGCUAUUUUACCUACGCUUAGGAUGUUGACGAUCAGCUGAGCGCG
Molecule: ribosomal RNA, 776 nt
Filed under: uncultured Neocallimastigales
Lineage: Eukaryota; Fungi; Neocallimastigomycota; Neocallimastigomycetes; Neocallimastigales
Description: partial large subunit ribosomal RNA
Rfam family: Eukaryotic large subunit ribosomal RNA
Source: RNAcentral